CUAGAGCCAUCAAAAUUCCACUC
This 23-nucleotide non-coding RNA is filed under the name Cricetulus griseus (Chinese hamster). The record is from RNAcentral. Lineage: Eukaryota; Metazoa; Chordata; Mammalia; Rodentia; Cricetidae.